RNAcentral lists this ribosomal RNA (483 nucleotides) under uncultured bacterium. RNAcentral describes it as "bacterial SSU rRNA". It matches the Rfam family "Bacterial small subunit ribosomal RNA", at positions 29 to 509 of the family's 1533-position model. The record is from RNAcentral.
AGUGAACGCUGGCGGCAGGCCUAACACAUGCAAGUCGAACGGCAGCACAGCAGUAGCAAUACUCUAGCGGCGAACGGGUGAGGAAUGCUUGGGAAUCUGCCUAGUAGUGGGGGAUAACGUUCGGAAACGGACGCUAAUACCGCAUACGUCCUACGGGAGAAAGGGGGGGAUCUUCGGACCUCUCGCUAUUAGAUGAGCCCAAGCGGGAUUAGCUAGUUGGUGAGGUAAUGGCUCACCAAGGCAACGAUCCCUAGCUGGUCUGAGAGGAUGAUCAGCCACACUGGAACUGAGACACGGUCCAGACUCCUACGGGAGGCAGCAGUGGGGAAUAUUGGACAAUGGGCGAAAGCCUGAUCCAGCCAUGCCGCGUGUGUGAAGAAGGCCUUAGGGUUGUAAGCACUUUAAGCGAGGAGGAAGGUUCGUCACCUAAUACGUGGCGGAAUUGACGUUACUCGCAGAAUAAGCACCGGCUAACUCUGUGCC